Non-coding RNA from Pelobates cultripes (western spadefoot toad), 376 nucleotides. NCBI's taxonomy places the organism in Eukaryota, Metazoa, Chordata, Amphibia, Anura, Pelobatidae. The record is from the annotation of a GenBank genome assembly.
CUAUUCACUUUUUGUCUCUUUCUUCUCCCUCCCAUUUACCAAAAGAAGUCAGUUCCACCGGACCACUGGUUCCGCCGGGCUGGGUGGCCGCCUAGCCAGUCCAGCGGCACACUCACUAAUGCUGACAGCAGUGAGCUGUCAGCAUAGGAGGACUGAAGGAGGGAGCCACAUCAUACUGUGCUGGGAAUUGUGGGAACCGCACCGCCGCAUUCAUUAUGGACUGUAACGGCGCAAGUUGGGAGCACGUAAGACCACUGAGAAGCGUAUAACAGUAGUCAAGGCGAGAAAGGACAGUGGAAUGGACCAGCACCUUAGUCGCAUCUGACGUUAAGUAGGGUCGGAUGCGCGCAAUGUUUUUGAGAUGGAAGCGGCAGGA